UUAAGCGACUAAGCGUACACGGUGGAUGCCCUGGCAGUCAGAGGCGAUGAAGGACGUGCUAAUCUGCGAUAAGCGUCGGUAAGGUGAUAUGAACCGUUAUAACCGGCGAUUUCCGAAUGGGGAAACCCAGUGUGUUUCGACACACUAUCAUUAACUGAAUCCAUAGGUUAAUGAGGCGAACCGGGGGAACUGAAACAUCUAAGUACCCCGAGGAAAAGAAAUCAACCGAGAUUCCCCCAGUAGCGGCGAGCGAACGGGGAGGAGCCCAGAGCCUGAAUCAGUGUGUGUGUUAGUGGAAGCGUCUGGAAAGGCGCGCGAUACAGGGUGACAGCCCCGUACACAAAAAUGCACAUGCUGUGAGCUCGAUGAGUAGGGCGGGACACGUGGUAUCCUGUCUGAAUAUGGGGGGACCAUCCUCCAAGGCUAAAUACUCCUGACUGACCGAUAGUGAACCAGUACCGUGAGGGAAAGGCGAAAAGAACCCCGGCGAGGGGAGUGAAAAAGAACCUGAAACCGUGUACGUACAAGCAGUGGGAGCCUCUUUUAUGGGGUGACUGCGUACCUUUUGUAUAAUGGGUCAGCGACUUAUAUUCUGUAGCAAGGUUAACCGAAUAGGGGAGCCGAAGGGAAACCGAGUCUUAACUGGGCGUUAAGUUGCAGGGUAUAGACCCGAAACCCGGUGAUCUAGCCAUGGGCAGGUUGAAGGUUGGGUAACACUAACUGGAGGACCGAACCGACUAAUGUUGAAAAAUUAGCGGAUGACUUGUGGCUGGGGGUGAAAGGCCAAUCAAACCGGGAGAUAGCUGGUUCUCCCCGAAAGCUAUUUAGGUAGCGCCUCGUGAAUUCAUCUCCGGGGGUAGAGCACUGUUUCGGCAAGGGGGUCAUCCCGACUUACCAACCCGAUGCAAACUGCGAAUACCGGAGAAUGUUAUCACGGGAGACACACGGCGGGUGCUAACGUCCGUCGUGAAGAGGGAAACAACCCAGACCGCCAGCUAAGGUCCCAAAGUCAUGGUUAAGUGGGAAACGAUGUGGGAAGGCCCAGACAGCCAGGAUGUUGGCUUAGAAGCAGCCAUCAUUUAAAGAAAGCGUAAUAGCUCACUGGUCGAGUCGGCCUGCGCGGAAGAUGUAACGGGGCUAAACCAUGCACCGAAGCUGCGGCAGCGACGCUGAUGCGUUGUUGGGUAGGGGAGCGUUCUGUAAGCCUGCGAAGGUGUGCUGUGAGGCAUGCUGGAGGUAUCAGAAGUGCGAAUGCUGACAUAAGUAACGAUAAAGCGGGUGAAAAGCCCGCUCGCCGGAAGACCAAGGGUUCCUGUCCAACGUUAAUCGGGGCAGGGUGAGUCGACCCCUAAGGCGAGGCCGAAAGGCGUAGUCGAUGGGAAACAGGUUAAUAUUCCUGUACUUGGUGUUACUGCGAAGGGGGACGGAGAAGGCUAUGUUGGCCGGGCGACGGUUGUCCCGGUUUAAGCGUGUAGGCUGGUUUUCCAGGCAAAUCCGGAAAAUCAAGGCUGAGGCGUGAUGACGAGGCACUACGGUGCUGAAGCAACAAAUGCCCUGCUUCCAGGAAAAGCCUCUAAGCAUCAGGUAACAUCAAAUCGUACCCCAAACCGACACAGGUGGUCAGGUAGAGAAUACCAAGGCGCUUGAGAGAACUCGGGUGAAGGAACUAGGCAAAAUGGUGCCGUAACUUCGGGAGAAGGCACGCUGAUAUGUAGGUGAAGUCCCUCGCGGAUGGAGCUGAAAUCAGUCGAAGAUACCAGCUGGCUGCAACUGUUUAUUAAAAACACAGCACUGUGCAAACACGAAAGUGGACGUAUACGGUGUGACGCCUGCCCGGUGCCGGAAGGUUAAUUGAUGGGGUCAGCGCAAGCGAAGCUCUUGAUCGAAGCCCCGGUAAACGGCGGCCGUAACUAUAACGGUCCUAAGGUAGCGAAAUUCCUUGUCGGGUAAGUUCCGACCUGCACGAAUGGCGUAAUGAUGGCCAGGCUGUCUCCACCCGAGACUCAGUGAAAUUGAACUCGCUGUGAAGAUGCAGUGUACCCGCGGCAAGACGGAAAGACCCCGUGAACCUUUACUAUAGCUUGACACUGAACAUUGAGCCUUGAUGUGUAGGAUAGGUGGGAGGCUUUGAAGUGUGGACGCCAGUCUGCAUGGAGCCGACCUUGAAAUACCACCCUUUAAUGUUUGAUGUUCUAACGUGGACCCGUAAUCCGGGUUGCGGACAGUGUCUGGUGGGUAGUUUGACUGGGGCGGUCUCCUCCUAAAGAGUAACGGAGGAGCACGAAGGUUGGCUAAUCCUGGUCGGACAUCAGGAGGUUAGUGCAAUGGCAUAAGCCAGCUUGACUGCGAGCGUGACGGCGCGAGCAGGUGCGAAAGCAGGUCAUAGUGAUCCGGUGGUUCUGAAUGGAAGGGCCAUCGCUCAACGGAUAAAAGGUACUCCGGGGAUAACAGGCUGAUACCGCCCAAGAGUUCAUAUCGACGGCGGUGUUUGGCACCUCGAUGUCGGCUCAUCACAUCCUGGGGCUGAAGUAGGUCCCAAGGGUAUGGCUGUUCGCCAUUUAAAGUGGUACGCGAGCUGGGUUUAGAACGUCGUGAGACAGUUCGGUCCCUAUCUGCCGUGGGCGCUGGAGAACUGAGGGGGGCUGCUCCUAGUACGAGAGGACCGGAGUGGACGCAUCACUGGUGUUCGGGUUGUCAUGCCAAUGGCACUGCCCGGUAGCUAAAUGCGGAAGAGAUAAGUGCUGAAAGCAUCUAAGCACGAAACUUGCCCCGAGAUGAGUUCUCCCUGACUCCUUGAGAGUCCUGAAGGAACGUUGAAGACGACGACGUUGAUAGGCCGGGUGUGUAAGCGCAGCGAUGCGUUGAGCUAACCGGUACUAAUGAACCGUGAGGCUUAACCUU
RNAcentral lists this ribosomal RNA (2901 nucleotides) under Escherichia coli. RNAcentral's name for it is "bacterial LSU rRNA". It matches the Rfam family "Bacterial large subunit ribosomal RNA". Lineage: Bacteria; Pseudomonadati; Pseudomonadota; Gammaproteobacteria; Enterobacterales; Enterobacteriaceae. The record is from RNAcentral.